GCCUGGGUGGCUCAGUCAGUAGAGCGUCCAACUUCGGAUCAGGUCAUGAUCUCAUGGUCUGUGAGUUCAAGCCCCGCCUCGGGCU
This is a transfer RNA of Felis catus (domestic cat), 85 nucleotides long. It matches the Rfam family "tRNA". Rfam says of the family: Transfer RNA (tRNA) molecules are approximately 80 nucleotides in length. Lineage: Eukaryota; Metazoa; Chordata; Mammalia; Carnivora; Felidae. The record is from Rfam.